GGCACGAGCCCGAGGAGGUGUCUGUGCUACUUUUUCAGACACCGGAGCUGCGUAAAGUCCGCAGGGCAUCCGGUGGGAGCCAAGCCUUCAGGACCCCGCCGCAGGUGCCUUUCUGUGUCAGACCCUCCAGGGGAGAAAUGCGAGCCGCACCGUCAGGGUGAAGACUGUAGCGGGCGCUCGUGCUCCAGAGAUGACCAUGGUCGCGAGGCCUCCCACGAGCCCAUCCCGUGACAGGGACCCGGCAAAAUGGGCAGUGCUCUGCUGGGGCAAGUCACGACUACCGGCCAGGGCCAGGCUGCAGGGCCAGAGCCACGGAGCGCUGUCUCUGAACGCUUGACCUCCCCCUUCCGUGCCUGGUCUGACUCAAGGGGCGGAAGCUGGCCUCCGGGACCGCUGGGAGGCAGAAAGCUGUGGAAGCUAGCCCGAAGCCUCAGCUUCACUUCUACACACGGGGAACCGUUGUUCCUCACAGCAAAGCCGCUCAGGGCAGGCCUAAAUGAAGCAGCCAGGAUGGGCCCAACCGGACAGAGAACCACUCACUGUCUGACCUGAAGACCUAAGGAGAAGCCAUCUGAGCCUGGCUCAGGCCACGGGAAAACUGAGGGGGCGGGGGGCACCGUCUCUUUUGUCCAGACUCUGGUCCUAAGUGUUAAAAAUAACAGGUUGGGAGAUAAGAUAGUGCUGUCUCUGACACCUGCCGUCUCAGGGAGGCUUAUUUUUAAAUCUCAGAGUUAGCCCUGGGCCUGGGAGGAGGGGGAAGGGCAGUGGCGAGGUCAGGAGGCCGCACUCCUUCCCCACUAGGACAUUCUGGUCGGGGGUCCAGGAUGUCUGGCUCUGUCGCAGGCGCAUGAGGAACUCCUGGCAAGCCUCUCUCUGGCCGUACCUUGGUUCCCCUUUCCGUGUGAUCAGCUCU
Long non-coding RNA from Prionailurus viverrinus (fishing cat), 913 nucleotides. RefSeq lists it as uncharacterized. The record is from RefSeq and is a predicted model, not a curated record. The transcript has 3 exons. NCBI's taxonomy places the organism in Eukaryota, Metazoa, Chordata, Mammalia, Carnivora, Felidae.